This 406-nucleotide ribosomal RNA is filed under the name uncultured bacterium. RNAcentral's name for it is "partial 16S ribosomal RNA". It matches the Rfam family "Bacterial small subunit ribosomal RNA", at positions 30 to 526 of the family's 1533-position model. The record is from RNAcentral.
AUUGAACGCUGGCGGCAGGCCUAACACAUGCAAGUCGAGCGAGCGGCGGACGGGUGAGUAAUGUAUGGGAACCUGCCUGAUGGCGGGGGAUAACUACUGGACACGGUAGCUAAUACCGCAUACCAUCAGAUGAACCCAUAUGGGAUUAGCUAGUAGGUGGGGUAAAGGCUCACCUAGGCGACGAUCCCUAGCUGGUCUGAGAGGAUGACCAGCCAAACGGGAACUGAGACACGGCCCAGACUCCUACGGGAGGCAGCAGUGGGGAAUAUUGCACAAUGGGCGCAAGCCUGAUGCAGCCAUGCCGCGUGUAUGAAGAAGGCCUUCGGGUUGUAAAGUACUUUCAGCGGGGAGGCGUUACCGGCAGAAGAAGCACCGGCUAACUCCGUGCCAGCAGCCGCGGUAAUAA